UACAGCGGACACAGGUGGUGCAUGGUUGUCGUCAGCUCGUGUCGUGAGAUGUUGGGUUAAGUCCCGGCAACGAGCGCAACCCUUGUCUUUAGUUGCCAUCAUUAAGUUGGGCACUCUAAAGAGACUGCCGAUGACAAAUCGGAGGAAGGUGGGGAUGACGUCAAAUCAUCAUGUCCUUUAUGUCCUGGGCUACACACGUGCUACAAUGGUCGGUACAACGAGAAGCAAGCCAGCGAUGGCAAGCAAAUCUCUAAAAGCCGAUCCCAGUUCGGAUUGCAGGCUGCAACUCGCCUGCAUGAAGUCGGAGUUGCUAGUAAUCGCGGAUCAGAAUGCCGCGGUGAAUGCGUUCCCGGACCUU
Molecule: ribosomal RNA, 358 nt
Filed under: uncultured Eubacteriales bacterium
Lineage: Bacteria; Bacillati; Bacillota; Clostridia; Eubacteriales
Description: bacterial SSU rRNA
Rfam family: Bacterial small subunit ribosomal RNA
Source: RNAcentral